Molecule: long non-coding RNA, 1330 nt
Filed under: Sus scrofa (pig)
Lineage: Eukaryota; Metazoa; Chordata; Mammalia; Artiodactyla; Suidae
Description: lncRNA (ENSSSCG00070008999.1)
Source: RNAcentral
AUGAAAGGAAAUUUGCCUGGCGACCAGAUAAACUUGGCACUGUUACUAGACCAUGAGAAACGUGAGGGUGUGAAUUUCGUCAGCCUGCUCAUCCUCGGCUUCCUCGUGAAGCACCUCUUCUCAUGCUCCUUCAGUUCCCCACAACCACCAUUCCUACCCAAAGGCCAGACGGGGUGUGGCCAGUCAUUUCAGCUGGUCGGACUCAUGAUGGAGAAGGGAUGUUUUAUGUGUUGGGGUGGAAGAAAGUGCCGGUCCCCUCUUUUGGAUGCUGCUUCUAAAAGGAUGGCUGAGGAGUUCCUGUCAUGGCUCAGCGGAUACAAAUCCAACUAGCAUCCACGAGGAUGCGGGUUUGAUCCCUGGCCUCGCUCUGUAGGUUAAGGAUCUAAGUUGCUGUGAGCUGUGCUGGCAGUCAGCAGCUGUAGUUCUCGUUCAACUGCUAGCCUGGGAACUUCCAUAUGCUGCAGAUGCAGCCCUAAAAAGCCCCCCCCCCAAAAAAAAGGAUGGCUGCAUGAAAAUAGCCCCUCCAGAUCUGGCCUCAGAGUGAACCUCUACAGAUGCGAGAUAUAGUCUUGCUGGUAACAAAUGUCUCUCCUGCAGCACAGUCUGCUGUCAGGGCUACUGUCUCUUUUCUCCACCUUGUCAAAGACCCUAGUAUAUUUUCUUUGCUUCUGGUCAAGACCCCAGACAAAUUAUCCUAUUAAACAAAUCAUUACCAAAGAUGUGGUAAGAUCCCUAAUAACACAUCAUUACCAAAGAUGUGAUAAGAGCCCUAAUAACAAAUCAUUACCAAAGAUGUGAUAAGAGCCCUAAUAGUGGUAGGUGCCAGACGAAGCGGAGGCAUACAAGUAGGUGUUGUUAAUUCUCACUAGGGGGAGGACAGGGUUGAUAUCUGAAAAAGAGGUUUCUUUUGAGAAGAAGUUGUUUUUUUAACUUAUUAAACAGAACUUUUUUUUUUUUGUCUUUUUUAGGGCCGCACCUGAGGCAUAUGGAAGUUACCAGGCUAGGGGUCAAAGUGGAGCUGCAGCUGCUCGCCUACACCAUGGCCACAGCAACACGGGUUGUGAGCUUUGUCUGCGACCUACAUCACAGCUCAGGGCAACGCUGGAUCCUUAACCCACUGAGGGAGGCCAGGAAUGGAACCUGCAUCCUCAUGGGUACUAGUUAGGUUGGUUACCACUGUACCACCCCGGGAACUCCCAGAAGUUGAUUUUUAAAUUGUAGUAAAAUACACAUAACAUUUACCCUCUUAACCACUUUUAAGUGUCCACUUUGGUGGCAUUAAAUAUAUUCACAUUGUAACCAACCUCCAGAACUUUCUCACCUUGCAAAA